GACGAACGCUGGCGGCGUGCUUAACACAUGCAAGUCGAACGGAAAGGCCCUGCUUUUGUGGGGUGCUCGAGUGGCGAACGUGUGCGGAACACGUGAGUAACCUGCUCUUGACUUUGGGUUAACUUCAGGAAACUGGGGCUAAUACCGGAUAGGAGCUCCUGCUGCCUGGUUGGGGUUGGAAAGUUUCGGCGGUUGGGGAUGGACUCGCGGCUUAUCAGCUUGUUGGUGGGGUAGUGGCUUACCAAGGCUUUGACGGGUAGUCGGCCUGAGAGGGUGACCGGCCACAUUGGGACUGAGAUACGGCCCAGACUCCUACGGGAGGCAGCAGUGGGGAGUAGUACACAAUAAGCGGAAGCCUGAUGCAGCGGCGCCGCGUGCGGGAUGACGGCCUUCUGGUUGUAAACCGCUUUCGCCUGUGACGAAGCGUGAGUGACGGUAAUGGGUAAAGAAGCACCGGCUAACUACGUG
RNAcentral lists this ribosomal RNA (468 nucleotides) under uncultured bacterium. RNAcentral describes it as "partial 16S ribosomal RNA". It matches the Rfam family "Bacterial small subunit ribosomal RNA", at positions 28 to 507 of the family's 1533-position model. The record is from RNAcentral.